ACACCGAAACACAGAGGACAGAGUUAGCCCAAACUACCCUCCUAAUCCUAACCCCCACACAUUUUCUACUAGUCCAGUGUGAAUAGUACUAGUUCAGUCUGAAUAGUACUAGUCUGAAUAGUACUAGUCCAGUCUGAAUAGUACUAGUCUGAAUAGUACUAGUCCAGUCUGAAUAGUACUAGUCUGAAUAGUACUAGUCCAGUGUGAAUAGUACUAGUCUGAAUAGUACUAGUUCAGUCUGAAUAGUACUAGUCCAGUCUGAAUACUACUAGUCCAGUCUGAAUAGGACUAGCCCCUCCCACCACCACCUUCCAUUGGGGUACAGGUGACCCCUGCAGAGUGGGGACACUCCCCUCCUACCUUCCAUUGGGGUACAGGUGACCCCUGCAGAGUGGGGACACUCCCCUCCUACCUUCCAUUGGGGUACAGGUGACGGCUGCAGCGUGGGGACACUCCCCUCCUACCUUCCAUUGGGGUACAGGUGACCCCUGCAGAGUGGGGACACUCCCCUCCUACCUUCCAUUGGGGUACAGGUGACGGCUGCAGAGUGGGGACACUCCCCUCCUACCUUCCAUUGGGGUACAGGUGACCCCUGCAGAGUGGGGACACUCCCCUCCUACCUUCCAUUGGGGUACAGGUGACCCCUGCAGAGUGGGGACACUCCCCUCCUACCUUCCAUUGGGGUACAGGUGACCCCUGCAGAGUGGGGACACUCCCCUCCUACCUUCCAUUGGGGUACAGUUGACCCCUGCAGAGUGGGGAAACUCCCCUCCUACCUUCCAUUGGGGUACAGGUGACCCCUGCAGAGUGGGGACACUCCCCUCCUACCUUCCAUUGGGGUACAGGUGACCCCUGCAGAGUGGGGACACUCCCCUCCUACCUUCCAUUGGGGUACAGGUGACCCCUGCAGAGUGGGGACACUCCCCUCCUACCUUCCAUUGGGGUACAGGUGACGGCUGCAGCGUGGGGACACUCCCCUCCUACCUUCCAUUUGGGUACAGGUGACGGCUGCAGAGUGGGGACACUCCCCUCCUACCUUCCAUUGGGGUACAGUUGACCCCUGCAGAGUGGGGACACUCCCCUCCUACCUUCCAUUGGGGUACAGGUGACGGCUGCAGAGUGGGGACACUCCCCUCCUACCUUCCAUUGGGGUACAGGUGACCCCUGCAGAGUGGGGAAACUCCCCUCCUACCUUCCAUUGGGGUACAGGUGACCCCUGCAGAGUGGGGACACUCCCCUCCUACCUUCCAUUGGGGUACAGGUGACGGCUGCAGAGUGGGGACACUCCCCUCCUACCUUCCAUUGGGGUACAGGUGACCCCUGCAGAGUGGGGACACUCCCCUCCUACCUUCCAUUGGGGUACAGGUGACCCCUGCAGAGUGGGGACACUCCCCUCCUACCUUCCAUUGGGGUACAGGUGACGGCUGCAGAGUGGGGACACUCCCCUCCUACCUUCCAUUGGGGUACAGGUGACGGCUGCAGCGUGGGGACACUCCCCUCCUACCUUCCAUUGGGGUACAGGUGACGGCUGCAGCGUGGGGACACUCCCCUCCUACCUUCCAUUGGGGUACAGGUGACCCCUGCAGAGUGGGGACACUCCCCUCCUACCUUCCAUUGGGGUACAGGUGACGGCUGCAGAGUGGGGACACUCCCCUCCUACCUUCCAUUGGGGUACAGCUGACCCAUGCAGAGUGGGGACACUCCCCUCCUACCUUCCAUUGGGGUACAGGUGACCCCUGCAGAGUGGGGACACUCCC
Long non-coding RNA from Oncorhynchus keta (chum salmon), 1757 nucleotides. RefSeq lists it as uncharacterized. The transcript is spliced from 3 exons. The record is from RefSeq and is a predicted model, not a curated record. NCBI's taxonomy places the organism in Eukaryota, Metazoa, Chordata, Actinopteri, Salmoniformes, Salmonidae.